RNAcentral lists this ribosomal RNA (423 nucleotides) under uncultured bacterium. Its description in RNAcentral is "bacterial SSU rRNA". It matches the Rfam family "Bacterial small subunit ribosomal RNA", at positions 355 to 776 of the family's 1533-position model. The record is from RNAcentral.
UAGGGAAUAUUGGACAAUGGGUGCGAGCCUGAUCCAGCCAUGCCGCGUGCAGGAAGACGGCCUUCUGGGUUGUAAACUGCUUUUGCCAGGGGAUAAAAAGUCCCUGCGGGGAAAAUUGAAGGUACCUGGUGAAUAAGCCACGGCUAACUACGUGCCAGCAGCCGCGGUAAUACGUAGGUGGCAAGCGUUGUCCGGAUUUAUUGGGUUUAAAGGGUGCGUAGGCGGUCCAUUAAGUCAGUGGUGAAAUACGGCAGCUUAACUGUCGAGGUGCCAUUGAUACUGGAGGACUUGAGUACAGACGAGGUAGGCGGAAUUGACGGUGUAGCGGUGAAAUGCUUAGAUAUCGUCAAGAACACCGAUAGCGAAGGCAGCUUACUAGACUGUAACUGACGCUGAGGCACGAAAGUGUGGGGAUCAAACAGG